Molecule: non-coding RNA, 26 nt
Filed under: Mus musculus (house mouse)
Lineage: Eukaryota; Metazoa; Chordata; Mammalia; Rodentia; Muridae
Source: RNAcentral
UGCCCGUGUUCCUGGUUUCCAAAGUC